Olea europaea var. sylvestris is the source of this 359-nucleotide long non-coding RNA. RefSeq lists it as uncharacterized. Lineage: Eukaryota; Viridiplantae; Streptophyta; Magnoliopsida; Lamiales; Oleaceae. The record is from RefSeq and is a predicted model, not a curated record. The transcript has 2 exons.
UGCAUGAUAUAAGAGGUUGCAGAUGCAUAUUCUUGAUCCGUUAUGAUCAUGAUAAUAAAGAGGAAAGAGUAUGUCUAAAGAGAUUGUGUUGCCGGCCCGACAAACUAGCGCAACCAGAGAUAAAUUAGCUGGGGAAAGUGGUCACUACUGACACUUAUCGGUUUCUGAAGGAUUCUUAGCACAAAUUUUGUUGCGUAGACCUUGGUUGCUGUUGUCAUUAUCGAGAAAAUUUUUGCUGCCUAGUGAUCUACGCCCGAUUCUUAUUAAUAUUGCAAUUUGAUAUCAAAUGUAAAUCUAUUGAGUAUACAAUCUGUGAUGAGAAUCGUUCUUCGAAAAAUCAAUAAGUAAAUAGUGUGGAA